GACAUGUAGCUCAACGGCAGAGCGCACGGCUGUUAACCGUGAUGUUGUAGGUUCGAAACCUACCUUGUCC
Molecule: transfer RNA, 70 nt
Filed under: bovine gut metagenome
Rfam family: tRNA
About the family: Transfer RNA (tRNA) molecules are approximately 80 nucleotides in length. Their secondary structure includes four short double-helical elements and three loops (D, anti-codon, and T loops).
Source: RNAcentral